Non-coding RNA from Rhodofomes roseus, 97 nucleotides. The record is from the annotation of a RefSeq genome assembly. Lineage: Eukaryota; Fungi; Basidiomycota; Agaricomycetes; Polyporales; Fomitopsidaceae.
GCCUGCCUAGCUCAAUCGGAUAGAGCGUCAGACUCUUAGUGAGCCUGAAAUGGCGAGCGUAAUCUGAAGGCUGCGAGUUCGACCCUCGCGGUGGGCU